AUAUUUAAAACUUGAAAAAAAAAUUUAAAAUCUUUUUUAACAAUUACAUUAAAAAACUCAGCCCGAAGUUAACAUGUGUAAUAAAGAAUCUUUCAACGAAUUGCUGCAGACAAGCUUCCCUCUCUUCUCUCCUGUUCAGACGAUUAUAUCUUAAUAUGCGCUGUAGUUUCGCCCAAUAAUGACAGCUGUUCAGCUGAUAGUAACUUCUUUCCAAGUUUUUUUUUUCUUUUCUUUUUUUCCCCUCCCCUCCUUCCCCCACUCGGGCCCCCCUUGGUCUCUGUCUUGCUUUGUUGUUUUAAAAUAUGCAUGUCUCUCUCCGGAAUGCCAGUCACGGGUCCAAACUUUGUGUGUCCCAACCUCCCACAUGAUGAAAUGAUCCUUUUAAAAGCGAGCUCAAUAUGUCUCAAUCUGCACUCUUCUCCCUCCUCUACCAAAGCCUUCUGGGCUCGGGACGCAACCCAGACACGUACAUAAGUGCAUGCAUAUAAUAAUUAAAGCGCAAUUCACUUUGCUGCGGACUUUAUUUCUAAGCGCUGAAGAGGAAGACGCGGCUGGAUCAAGUCAAGUUCUGUCAGCGACGGACGGAUGAAGAUUCAUGGCAGGAAAAGGGGGGAAAAAGCCGCUACGUGUGGUGACAACGUUGGAGUUCUCUUCGGCUUCCUCUUCCUCCUUCGUCUUCAGGACUUCGUUGAAGAACCUGAAGAUGGACUCAAAACUCAUCCAGGAGCAGAUCGAUGCGGCAGCGUUCGCUCGUUCACCCUGAACUGGUGGUGAACUCCCCCCGCACGCCGCCAGCCUCUCCGCCCUACUCCACCGCAUUCGAGGGUCACCAUGGGGGUGUCUCUGUGCUAAUAUGCAGAUGAGCUGCUGCCCCUCCAAUGACUCGGAUGUUAAGCUCCACCUCCCUUUAGAGGGUUGAAGGCUUUGAGAUUAAGUCUUCUCCCUUCACUCUCAUAUAUAGACAUAAAUUGUCUCUCAUAUGAAAUGUGCCAAAUUGCAUCCACUCUUAUUUCUAAAGCUUAACGACAAAAUUCACAAUGCACAUGCUUUGACAGAAGAAAAACAUUACAAAGUAAUAUAUAAACAACAUAGUUCAAUGGGGAAUGGACCUUGUAAAAAAUGAGUAGCCAAAAAUACAGGCAAACAGUAUAUGUUUAUCUAAGACUUUAUCAAUAUUCAGGUGAAUUAGAUUUUUUUUUUUUGAGUAUUUAUCAUGUACUGCAAUGUAAUAGCCACAUUUUUGUAACUUUACAAGCUUUUUAAUCUGGCAUAUAACUCCAAAACUGAGAUUGUAUAUUUAUAUUUCCUUAACUGUUUAUGACACAUGUAUAAAACUACUGCUAUCAUAGAAUAAAGUUUUUAUAUUUAGUAAAAAGCCUUUUAAAACUGAGCAAAUCAGAUAAAAAAUUCAGGCAACAAAGAAUACUGUAAAAAAAAAAAAAAUACAGGUUUUUGUACAAUUCUAAUUGUGAUUGAACCUAAUGGGUUGAUAGCUAAAUUAAUAAGGGCAACUGAAUGAAGACAAUGCAACACAAAGUAAUGGGCAAAACUUUUUUGUACUCUUAACUACAAAUUACACCUCGUGUUUAAGCAAUAAACAUAUAAACAACAUAGUUCAAAACAGAGGAGAUUAUUAGCUUGGUGUGCUCCUGACAGUUGAAGUGAGAUUGAACACUGUGUAAGAUUGGAAGAGCAGCCUGAGAAAAAAAAUCUGAAACAUUUUAAGUCUGGUAAAUAACUUGCAGAGAUGUCAAAAAAUGUUUUAGAACAAAUUUCUAGUUAUACUUUUUAUGUUUUUUAAAAUUCGAUUUGAAUGAUCUAUGAAAAGCAUAUUAGUUGUUUGGUAGGCAAUUUUUUUGGACAGCUAUAUAGAAAAAUAAAUAAAUAAAUAAAACAAAAACAACAAAGAGAGGGGGCAAGCAGGAACCAAGGAGAUGACUGAAUUGAAACAACAACAGACAGAAAAAACAUCUCCAGUAAUAAUAAUAAUAAUAAUCAGAAUGUACUUCUAAUUAGAGUUGGUUAGCAGAAAAAAAAAGUUUUUACAAUAAGGACAGCUGGUCUGAAACUGAUGAAACACAUUCACAGUUCUGUGGAGAAGUUUAACUGUGAGGCAGGAAAUAUCUGGUGCAGAAACAUGCUCUGUGGUGAGGUCACCCGCAUGUUCUCUCUGCUGAGGUCAAGACACAGUUUUGAUGGCCGGGCUGGCCAGCGGCUUGCGGCUGACCAUCCUGAGUGAGUGUGUUUUCCCAAACUCGGUGAGGCCGGCUCAUUAUGUGGCAAGCAGAGAGAAGCAUUUGAUCCUGGAUGUUUAGCAUCCUCCUCUCUGUCACAGCCACUGGAGCCCUCUCUGGGUAAUUGACUGGCUGUUUGAUCUCUCUCUGACUCGACAUUACUACACACAUUUACACACACGGACAAACGCGUUUAUCUUGCAAGUGUCUGCUCAAUGCCCACAGUUACUCGUGCCAAAAGCACACAGUUAUGAUGAUUUGUGUGCUGAGGAGGAAUCUAAGAGAGGAGCAGAGUGAGUUUUGAGCUGAAAACAGGGAAACUCGUGCAUAGCUGAAGGCCAUGCUUUCUUCCCUCUGCACCAAAUGCUGCAUGCUGUUACAAAUGGUAAUCGGCUGUGAUUGUCACAAAUUUCAAAACAAACGCUAGGUGACUGAAAAGCCAAAGUGACGCCCCGAGUGAUACUCCGACAGGAGCUGCGAAUCAAAGCAUGCCGACUAUAAUUAGGUUCCAUCUGGGCUACAUUAUUUAAAGCCGCACCAGUUAAUUGCUUGUGUACAAAUGGCCUAUUUUAUUUGAAUCAAAUUCUUUUUUAUUCAUAAUUACACUGAUGUGAAGGGGAGAAUAUCUCUUUGCUACAGUUAUAAUAUAAAUACAUAUUCAAAUUAAGGAUGCUUUGAGGCGAGGCAGAACGUAAAAUGAUGACACUUUUAUUUUUGGGAGUUGAUUUUCUUUAAACAAUUAAGAGUGCUUAAAAAAAUACUGACAUUUGGGUUAAAUAUUUAAUGAACUCCAAUUAAAAAAAGAGAUUAGUCCUGAUAUAAUCAUUAAGCAGAAAUCAGAAAGGCAGAAUUCCUGAAAGACAGUAUUUAUAGAAUAGACAAAAAUAUUGAUGCGAGUAUUUUCAUUUUCUCAUUUCCUUUCCUUUCUUUUUUUUAAAGAAAACACCAGAUAAAAAAGCACAACACACAAAUAGAGGAUUGUCUUAUCAACUUCCCAUCAAAUGUAACCUCAGCCUUAGUUGUAUCUCUAUGUGGGGCCACAGCAGAGCACUGUGGGAGCACGCUUGGGCUACUUGUAACCUUAGCAGUGUUUCUACUUGUGGAAACUAUCUGAUCUGCAUCGCCGGGAGAGAAUCGCUGUCUGUAUCCUGGUUGUCAGAAGAUCAGAUUUCCACCCCGACUUUUUCUGAUAUUAGAUGGUCCUUUGCAGUGUGUGUGUGCAGAAUAUGAGUGGUGGUCAAACCUCGACGUAUGCUCGUCCCCGAGCAAUGCCUACGCAUGUACAGUACAGUUUUUGUGUAUUGUCACUUUAUGUACAAACAUGCUUAAAGGUCAAGGAUGCCAUUUUCCUCCAUAUGGCUCUUUGUUCUGGAUGGUGCGACACGUUGCCAGUGAAGACGAGGCCAAAGAGAAACGCAAGCAGGUGACAGGUGGUCAGCCACACUGUUGGAGCAAGGCUGCCCUAUCUAACAAAGCAUGUGGAUGCCAUCUUCAGCCAGAAAUCAAAUUAACCCAUAAAUACAAUCUUAAAUUGUCACUCAGAGUAGGACAGUCACAUUAAAUGGAGCUUAAAAUAGAUAAAAUCAGAUAUAUGUCUGCCAAACAAUAUGUUUGACUAAAGGAAGAUGAAAAUAACAUCACUUUGCUUACUUUAAUCAAACCAGAGAAAAUUACCCAAAACAGAGCUUGUUUGAUUAAACCAGUUUCACCACUGUUACCUCUUCAUUGAAAUUCAUUUGUAAUGCCUGUUUGUAAGUGGGGUCCACCCCGCUUCCCCUCACGUUUCUGUCAUCCUGCUUUUAAUUGCUUUGCUUAUUACUGUGUGUUGUUGUUAGACAAAAACAAGGCAGAACUCAUUACGCAUCCAGAGAUGAGGAACCUGAAUCACUUCCUACGGGGGCUGCUCAGGGGACUUUGUAUUUCCAAAGCAAAAUAAAAAAAAGAGGGAGUGAGAAGAGAAUCAAGACAAGGACCAGAAAGAGAAUAUCACAUUAACUGGUUGAUAUUAUCACCCAGUCUCUGCUACUGUUUUCAAUAAAAUGGUCUAGAGAGGAAAAAACUGUGACAAGAAUAAAUCUCUCAUCACAGUGCCUUGCAAACAUAUUUACACUCAAACUUUGUAUAUACUGUAACACUAUAAUAAACAAAGUAUAUGUAUUACAUUGGGAUUUUAUGUGAUAAACCGACAAUUACAAUGAAAGGAGAAAGGGAAAUGAUAUAUGAUUAUAAAAAUAUGUGUUCAGUCCCAAUACAUACCAGGACUUUUUGGAACCGUGUUUUGCUGUAAUUAUGGAGUUAGACGUUUUUUGGGUUAUGUCUUUAUCGGCUUUACACAUCUGUAGACUGAAUAUUUUGACAGUUUCACUUUGCAUGACAGCUCAGUCAUGUGAGUCAUGAGCGUCUGUGAAAAUCUGUGAAAGUCUUGCCAAAGAUCUUCAAGGGGAUUUAGGGCUGGACGUUGGCUGAUUCAAACAGACCAUGAUUUUCUGUAAUACUGUCUCUAAUACUGUCAGUUAAGGUGGAUGGCUAUGUCUAAAUAAGUUUACAUUUUUGUCAUGACAUCAAUUGUUAGAAAAUGGAUUGAGCGGUGCUCCUUGAGAUCUUUAGAGUUUAGGAUAUUAUUCUGAAACCUAAACCAAUUUGGGCAACUUGGUGUUUUUUCUUUUUGUUUUUGGAAAGGGGGUUGGGAGAGUCAAAUAAAAUAGUGUUAAACAGAAAUGUAAACCCCAUUUGUCUGAUACUAUACUUUGUGUUGGUCUGCCACACAAUGGAAGUUUCCCUGAAACAUUGAAGUUUCACGGUAUAAACAAUAUAAUAAUUUGAAAAGUUCGAGGGGUAUGAAAACUUUUGCAAGGCAUUGUACUUUUUAUGCCUCAUUUAGUUAAACCCUUUAAUGCUUCCUCUUCAACCUAUUUCCCUCUCUGACCAGACUGUCAGACUGGACUGAGUGCUUUUUUGUUUUAACUGGGAAGAGUGGCCUUGGCUGUCAUAAAAGACACUCGCUUUUAUAGAGUUGGAGCGAAGUAUUUACAAGAUAACCCUGGUCCUUGGACCGUGCAAUUUGAUACCAGUGUCAGACGCUCUUCUCGCCAGUAAAAAUUGAAAGGUCCAAACAUCCCUUCCCCUCUACAUAACCUCUCAAUGUCAGCAGCUUUAGUGAGCUCUGAGGAAAGUGGUUGAGAUGCAUGUGAAUAAGAUGAGAUACAUAUUUGUGGAGUUUAAUAAAGAGUUUGGCUCCACCUUAGCUUGUUCAGUGUAAAGAGUUUAACAGAGAAUAUCUAUAUAGAAAUAAUAGAAUAAAGCUGAAUCUGUAGA
Molecule: long non-coding RNA, 5549 nt
Organism: Xiphophorus hellerii (green swordtail)
Lineage: Eukaryota; Metazoa; Chordata; Actinopteri; Cyprinodontiformes; Poeciliidae
Exons: 3
Source: RefSeq, a predicted model, not a curated record